RNAcentral lists this ribosomal RNA (694 nucleotides) under uncultured bacterium. RNAcentral describes it as "bacterial SSU rRNA". It matches the Rfam family "Bacterial small subunit ribosomal RNA", at positions 32 to 715 of the family's 1533-position model. The record is from RNAcentral.
AACGCUAGCUACAGGCUUAACACAUGCAAGUCGAGGGGCAGCAUGGUCUUAGCUUGCUAAGGCCGAUGGCGACCGGCGCACGGGUGAGUAACGCGUAUCCAACCUGCCUUACACUCUUGGACAGCCUUCUGAAAGGGAGAUUAAUACAAGAUGUUAUCAUGAGUAAGCAUUUUCGCAUGAUUAAAGGUUUACCGGUGUAAGAUGGGGAUGCGUUCCAUUAGAUAGUAGGCGGGGUAACGGCCCACCUAGUCUUCGAUGGAUAGGGGUUCUGAGAGGAAGGUCCCCCACAUUGGAACUGAGACACGGUCCAAACUCCUACGGGAGGCAGCAGUGAGGAAUAUUGGUCAAUGGACGAGAGUCUGAACCAGCCAAGUAGCGUGAAGGAUGAAGGUUCUAUGGAUUGUAAACUUCUUUUAUACGGGAAUAAACGGAUCCACGUGUGGAUUUUUGCAUGUACCGUAUGAAUAAGGAUCGGCUAACUCCGUGCCAGCAGCCGCGGUAAUACGGAGGAUCCGAGCGUUAUCCGGAUUUAUUGGGUUUAAAGGGAGCGUAGGCGGAUUGUUAAGUCAGUUGUGAAAGUUUGCGGCUCAACCGUAAAAUUGCAGUUGAUACUGGUUUCCUUGAGUGCAGUUGAGGCAGGCGGAAUUCGUGGUGUAGCGGUGAAAUGCUUAGAUAUCACGAAGAACUCCGAUUG